AUUCCAGCUCCAAUAGCGUAUAUUAAAGUUGUUGCAGUUAAAAAGCUCGUAGUUGGAUUUUUGGGGCCGGAUUAGUGUUUGUGCGGUGAAAGCCGUGUCUUGCGCUAGCGGGCUCAUUCCUCCUGAAGAGCACAUCUGGCCUUAACUGGUCUGGGUGAGUCAUGCGCUUCAGGUCGUUUACUUUGAGCAAAUUAGAGUGUUCAAAGCAGGCAUUUGCCUUGAAUACCUUAGCAUGGAAUAACAGAAUAGGACUUGGUUUCUGUUUUGUUGGUUUCUAGAAGCCGAGUAAUGAUUAAUAGGAACAGUUGGGGCCGUUCAUAUUUCAUUGUCAGAGGUGAAAUUCUUAGAUUUAUGGAAGACGAACUACUGCGAAAGCAUUUACCAAGGAUGUUUUCAUUA
RNAcentral lists this ribosomal RNA (399 nucleotides) under Eukaryota sp. RNAcentral's name for it is "partial small subunit ribosomal RNA". It matches the Rfam family "Eukaryotic small subunit ribosomal RNA", at positions 582 to 975 of the family's 1831-position model. The record is from RNAcentral.